AAAUAUUUACAAAGGUUUUUAAAAGAUUUUGAAAGGGUUUAAAAGUGUUUUAAAAGAUUUACAAGGGAUUUUAAAAGGGUUUUAAAGAUUUACAAGAGAUUUUAAAAGGGUUUUAAAAGAUGUACAAGGAUUUUUAAAAGAUUUUUAAAGAAUUUACAACAAGACCCUUUAAAAACUUUUGU
RNAcentral lists this small RNA (182 nucleotides) under Arabidopsis thaliana (thale cress). RNAcentral describes it as "ATSL085960". The record is from RNAcentral. Lineage: Eukaryota; Viridiplantae; Streptophyta; Magnoliopsida; Brassicales; Brassicaceae.